AUGAUCUCUGCAGCUUUUUCGCUGCUGCUGCUCGCAGCCGUACACUGUGUUCACUGUGUUGAGCUGACCCAGCCUGGAUCCAGUAUAGUAACCCCUGGUCAGUCACUGACUCUGACCUGUAAAGUGUCUGGAUAUUCAUUUAGCAGCUACUACACAGCCUGGAUACGACAACCUGCAGGAAAACCUCUAGAGUGGAUCGGAAGAAUUUGUUGUAGUGGUAGCACUGACUACAGUGAGAAACUGAAAAGCAGGUUUCAGCUUUCCAUAGACACGUCCAGCAGCACAGUAACAUUAACAGGACAGAACAUGCAGACUGAAGACACAGCUGUGUAUUACUGCGCUCGAGACCCCACAGUGAGACAGAUUAACAACAUCCCUUGUAGAUAUUAA
Clarias gariepinus (North African catfish) is the source of this 390-nucleotide non-coding RNA. The record is from the annotation of a RefSeq genome assembly. Lineage: Eukaryota; Metazoa; Chordata; Actinopteri; Siluriformes; Clariidae.